This 253-nucleotide ribosomal RNA is filed under the name uncultured bacterium. Its description in RNAcentral is "partial 16S ribosomal RNA". It matches the Rfam family "Bacterial small subunit ribosomal RNA", at positions 524 to 776 of the family's 1533-position model. The record is from RNAcentral.
UACAGAGGGUGCGAGCGUUAAUCGGAAUUACUGGGCGUAAAGCGCGCGCAGGCGGCGGUGCUGGCCCGGCGUGAAAGCCCCCGGCUCAACCGGGGAGGGUCGUCGGGGACCACACCGCUUGAGGGCGGUAGGGGCUGGUGGAAUGCCUGGUGUAGUGGUGAAAUGCGUAGAGAUCAGGCGGAACACCCGUGGCGAAGGCGGCCAGCUGGGCCGUCCCUGACGCUGAGGCGCGAAGGCGUGGGGAGCGAACGGG